Long non-coding RNA from Dermacentor albipictus, 288 nucleotides. RefSeq lists it as uncharacterized. Lineage: Eukaryota; Metazoa; Arthropoda; Arachnida; Ixodida; Ixodidae. The record is from RefSeq and is a predicted model, not a curated record.
GUGCGUUCGACGACCAGCUGCAAUGGCUGUAGUUGUGUGGGUACUAGUCCUGCUUCUGGCAGGCUUUAUGGCAAGCUCCGAAGCGAAACCGGGUGUGAGGCCAUAUCACUUUCCAUGGAUUUGUCCAAGAAACGACUACAAAUGCCAACAGCGCUGCGUCGCCAAGCACUUCAAUGCAGGAUUCUGCGCUGGACAACAGUGCAUAUGCAAAAACUGAUAGUCACGGGACCCCGGCACAUUGAUGUUGAGCAUUCACACAAUAAAUCGGUUGAGAGCUGAGUAUGUAUA